RNAcentral lists this long non-coding RNA (831 nucleotides) under Pan troglodytes (chimpanzee). RNAcentral's name for it is "long non-coding RNA NONPTRT005989". The record is from RNAcentral. Lineage: Eukaryota; Metazoa; Chordata; Mammalia; Primates; Hominidae.
AAAAUGUGCGGAGAGGGUGGAGAGUGGAAACGCCCCACCCAAGGCUGUUCUCUCACCCAGUCCCACCUCUCCCAGGUAACUUGUUAAUAAUUAACUGUAUUUUGUGUUUUUUCAGUGCACAUUUUGAAAAAUUAUAUGAAUUUUAAACACAGAUGGAAUCAUACUUUACAUUUACUUUCUGUAACUUCUUUUUUCCACUUAAUAUUUCUUGGACAUCUUCCCCUGUCAGUACACCUGUCUCAUUUUUUUUACAGCAUAGAAUUUUCCAUGGUAUGGCUGUACCAUAAUUUAUUUAACCCAUCCCUUAUUGGUGGACAUUUAGGUUGUUUCCAGUAUUUUGCUAUCACAACGCUUCCGUGAACACCUCGAGCACAUGUGCAAGUAUACCUGGGGGAUAGAUUCUGCAGUGUAAUUGCUGUGCCACAGGGUAUGACCAUCUUCCAUUCUGAUAGAUGUUGAGACCGCUGCUUCUUGAAACCUUAGGGCCCAGGCCUACCUGGGGCAGGGGAGGAUAGUGGGGGUGGGGGAGGAGAUCCCUACAACUGGUUGUUCAUCUUCCCCAGCUGCGGCUUGAUGAGACCCAGGAGGCAGAGUUCCAGGCCCUUCGGCAGCAGCUUCAACAGGAGCUGGAGCUGCUCAACGCUUACCAGAGCAAGAUCAAGAUCCGCACAGAGAGCCAGCACGAGAGGGAGCUGCGGGAGCUGGAGCAGAGGGUCGCGCUGCGGCGGGCACUGCUGGAGCAGCGGGUGGAAGAGGAGCUGCUGGCCCUGCAGACAGGACGCUCUGAGCGAAUCCGCAGUCUGCUUGAGCGGCAGGCCCGUGAGAUCGAGG